GAUGAACGCUGGCGGCGUGCCUAAUACAUGCAAGUCGAACGAGGUGCUUGAGUAGCAAUACAAGAGUAUCCUAGCGGCGAACGGGUGAGUAACGCGUUGGUGACCUACCCCAAAGUGUGGGAUAACAGUCCGAAAGGAUUGCUAAUACCGCAUGUGGUUAUCAGGUUUAGAAACUGAUAACUAAAGGAGCAAUUCGCUUUGGGAGGGACCUGCGUCCCAUCAGCUAGUUGGUGAGGUAAUGGCUCACCAAGGCUACGACGGGUAGGGGACCUGAGAGGGUGGCCCCCCACAAUGGAACUGAAACACGGUCCAUACACCUACGGGUGGCAGCAGUAGGGAAUAUUGCACAAUGGGCGAAAGCCUGAUGCAGCAACGCCGCGUGUGCGAUGAAGGCCUUCGGGUCGUAAGCACUUUCUGAGAGAUGAGAAAGGACAGUAUACUCAGGAAUAAGUCUCGGCUAACUACGUGCCAGCAGCCGCGGU
RNAcentral lists this ribosomal RNA (482 nucleotides) under uncultured bacterium. Its description in RNAcentral is "bacterial SSU rRNA". It matches the Rfam family "Bacterial small subunit ribosomal RNA", at positions 28 to 521 of the family's 1533-position model. The record is from RNAcentral.